AUUCGCCCUUAGAGUUUGAUCCUGGCUCAGGAUGAACGCUGGCGGCGUGCCUAACACAUGCAAGUCGAACGAAGCGCUGGGGCGGAAUUUCUUCGGAAAGGAAGCCCCUGUGACUGAGUGGCGGACGGGUGAGUAACGCGUGGACAACCUACCCCGCACUGGGGGACAACAGCCGGAAACGGCUGCUAAUACCGCAUAUGCGCACGGCCCCGCAUGGGGCUGUGCGGAAAGCCCAGGCGGUGCGGGAUGGGUCCGCGUCUGAUUAGCUUGUUGGCGGGGUAACGGCCCACCAAGGCGACGAUCAGUAGCCGGCCUGAGAGGGUGGGCGGCCACAUUGGGACUGAGACACGGCCCAGACUCCUACGGGAGGCAGCAGUGGGGGAUAUUGCACAAUGGGGGCAACCCUGAUGCAGCGACGCCGCGUGAGCGAUGGAGUACUUCGGUAUGUAAAGCUCUGUCAGCAGGGAAGACAUUGACGGUACCUGACCAAGAAGCCCCGGCUAAAUACGUGCCAGCAGCCGCGGUAAUACGUAUGGGGCAAGCGUUAUCCGGAUUUACUGGGUGUAAAGGG
RNAcentral lists this ribosomal RNA (571 nucleotides) under uncultured bacterium. RNAcentral's name for it is "bacterial SSU rRNA". It matches the Rfam family "Bacterial small subunit ribosomal RNA", at positions 1 to 567 of the family's 1533-position model. The record is from RNAcentral.